GUCGCUUCUCGGCCUUUUGGCUAAAAUCAAAGUGUAGUAUCUGUUCUUUUCAGCUUUAUAUCUGGGACGCCCUUACACGGGGCAAGAUAUAAUGCUUAUUUAUGUGCCUUGGUAUGUGUUGCGAAGCUUGCUUCCUCCUCAUAAACCGAGGUUGUAUCAUAAACCGAGGUUCGCUGAAAACCUAAUUAA
Molecule: small nuclear RNA, 189 nt
Organism: Octopus sinensis (East Asian common octopus)
Lineage: Eukaryota; Metazoa; Mollusca; Cephalopoda; Octopoda; Octopodidae
Product: U2 spliceosomal RNA
Exons: 1
Source: RefSeq, a predicted model, not a curated record